Long non-coding RNA from Suricata suricatta (meerkat), 451 nucleotides. RefSeq lists it as uncharacterized. NCBI's taxonomy places the organism in Eukaryota, Metazoa, Chordata, Mammalia, Carnivora, Herpestidae. The transcript is spliced from 4 exons. The record is from RefSeq and is a predicted model, not a curated record.
AGGAUGCAUGAUGAAAGGAAGUCCCACAGGAGACCAAAGGAGGAGGAAAUCAAGCACUCAAAGAACCCUGUGAUGACUGCUUUCCCUACAGUGAAACAACAUUUUGCAGUCACACAUCCUGUCUGACCAUGGCUGAGGAUCCAGGAGUGGGAAGAAGUAAUGCCAGAACCAUGGUUGGGUCAUUUCUCAAGAUGACAGCGGAAGGCAAGGCUGACACCAGUGACUAAAAGCACCUAUACUCCUGACACCAAUAACUAAAAACAGCGUAUUGGUAUCCAGGGGGCAGACCUAGGAAAAGAAUGCUCUCGUUCAGCAUACUAAAUAGACUUCACAACUUCACCUCCAGCCUCAUCUCCAGUGGCUUAGAAGACAGUGUCACUUAGAGUCAUUCAUCUCUCAACAAAGCAGGCCCUGAACUCAUGUGGGAGGAAGCAAACUCCAAGGGGAAAAG